This 696-nucleotide ribosomal RNA is filed under the name uncultured eukaryote. RNAcentral's name for it is "bacterial SSU rRNA". It matches the Rfam family "Eukaryotic small subunit ribosomal RNA", at positions 1087 to 1827 of the family's 1831-position model. The record is from RNAcentral.
CUAAUGAGAAACCAAAGUCCUUGGGGUUUUGGGGGGAGUAUGGUCGCAAGGCCGAAACUUAAAGGAAUCGACGGAAGGACACCACCAGCAGUGGAGCCUGCGGCUUAAUUUGAUUCAACACGGGAAAACUCACCACGGCAAAAAACUGAUAUGAUUGACAGCUUGAUAGCGCUUUCUUGAUCCGGUAGCAAGUGGUGCAUGGCCGUUCUUAGUUGGUGGAGUGAUUUGUCAGGUUAAUUCCCUAAACGAACGAGACCUUAACCUGCUAAAUAGGUGCGUUUACUUUCUAGGCGUGACCUUCUUAGAGGGACUAUAGAUGUAAAUCUAUGGAAGUUUGAGGCAAUAACAGGUCCGUGAUGCCCUUAGAUGUCCUGGGCCGCACGCGUGCUACACUGAUGCAUGCAGCAAGUUACCUAACUCGAAAGGGGAUGGGAAAUCUUCACAAUGUGCAUCGUGCUUGGGAUAGAUCCUUGUAAUUAUGGAUCUUGAACGAGGAACUCCUAGUAAGCAUAAGUCACUACCUUAUGCUGAUUACGUCCCUGUCCUUUGUACACACCGCCCGUCGCUCCUACCGAUUGAGUGAUUCGGCGAAUGCUUCGGACCGGCUCAUUAGAGCUGGAAAGUUGUGUAAGCCAUAUCACUUAGAGGAAGGAUAAGGCGUAACAAGGUUUCCGUAGGUGAACGGGCAGAAGGAUC